This is a non-coding RNA of Neolamprologus brichardi, 313 nucleotides long. The record is from RefSeq and is a predicted model, not a curated record. NCBI's taxonomy places the organism in Eukaryota, Metazoa, Chordata, Actinopteri, Cichliformes, Cichlidae.
CCCGUCGAAUGAUAUCGGUGACACCUUCCUUUCUUCCCUUUCUCUUCCGUGUGGCUUUCAGUAAAGAACAUUGUUAGGAUACACUAACUACUAGCCAAUGGUUAUUGAACCUGAAGGAUUUGAAGAGUUUUAUCCAAGAAUGAUGAAGAAAAUUUUCAAGAUAAAAGAAGGCUAAUGAAAACAUAUACAGAACAGAACAUAGAGCUGGAAAGGGAGGAAGUGUACCGGAAGAAUGGUGUCAGAUAGACGCGCUUGCAGUGUAAUGGCUAAAAUGAAACAGACCUGGAAUCAGAAAAUGAGAAAACUGAAAAAA